UACGGAGGGGGCUAGCGUUGCUCGGAAUGACUGGGCGUAAAGGGCGCGUAGGCGGCUCAUACAGUCAGAUGUGAAAUUCCUGGGCUUAACCUGGGGGCUGCAUUUGAUACGUGUGGGCUUGAGUGGGGAAGAGGGUCGUGGAAUUCCCAGUGUAGAGGUGAAAUUCGUAGAUAUUGGGAAGAACACCGGUGGCGAAGGCGGCGACCUGGUCCUUGACUGACGCUGAGGCGCGAAAGCGUGGGGAGCGAACAGG
Molecule: ribosomal RNA, 253 nt
Filed under: uncultured bacterium
Lineage: Bacteria
Description: partial 16S ribosomal RNA
Rfam family: Bacterial small subunit ribosomal RNA
Source: RNAcentral